Haliotis rufescens (red abalone) is the source of this 4023-nucleotide RNA transcript. RefSeq lists it as uncharacterized. The record is from RefSeq and is a predicted model, not a curated record. The transcript has 3 exons. Lineage: Eukaryota; Metazoa; Mollusca; Gastropoda; Lepetellida; Haliotidae.
UACAUUUAGUACUAACGACUAAAUGACUUUAUCGCGCGUAUCCAAACCAUUACGUCUGUAACCCAACCACCCCUCGUAACCCAAUCACCCCGGGCCACCACUCGGCACCGUGCCCGGGGAAUAAUCCCGCGCAAGCAUCAUCCCGUCCUUUGUUAGUCGGUCAUUCGCGAGCAACCCUUCCCCAAGUACACACGUGUGUCACUGUAUCUAAUCGCUUUCUUUCGCUUUGGACGUUUCUUUUGUACCCAGUCGCGACCGUUUUGUCGAUUACGCUUCGAAUACCAUCUAUUCCAACACUCGCCGUAUCGCAUUUACACAAUCGCGACCGUUUCGCCGAUUACGCUUUAAAUACCAUCUAUUUUCAGCACUCGCCGUAUCGCAUUUAUUCCGUUCUACUCCCGAACUUCACCCUCGGGACAAUUUACGCUUGUGGAAUACCAACUCACCACCUCGACCUUUCUGGAUGCCUCCCAAGAGAAGAGCAACCGUCAACCACAAGCUGGUGAGGGGAGCCAAGCAGCCCAGGACAACCAGAAGACAAACCCCUGGAGUACACAUUGUACAGGAGGCAACAGCUGAUGGUGAGUCUGCCAAUUACGGCAAUAUCGAAGGUGGCAACAGAAUUAACGUACAAUCGGCGCAGCUUGUAAAUGCCGCACAGGCUGCCAACUCGGCUACCCAGGUAAACGAGCAACUGGAAAAAAUACUCCAGUUGCUGGAACAUUCAGCGCCUGGCCCGGUUAGCGCAAACCAACAGGUAAGGCGUGGUUUUAGUUCCCCCGCCAUUUCGCCCAACAUAGGGAGAAUCCCCGAUGCCCUCAACGAGGCCGACGGUGACGCGGCUUGGCCAGCCAAUCACACCGCAGGAUACGGGGAUUCCCUUUCUUUCCGUGCGGACGGGAUAGACGCGCACGUCAAACAACAGGUGAGGGAAAAAAUCUGGCGUGGCGAGUAUGUCGACCUCGGCACAAUCCUACCAAACAACGAGGGAGGUCACGAGGACGGUACGAUUACCAUGGCGUACGACUCCUCAGUAGGCACUCCGAGGUCCGCACAACCCAGGGGUUGCUGUCCUACAUGGAAACCAUAAGGACGGCGGCACUUCGAUUCGGGGGGGAUGCCUGGUCAACCUACGACCAACAAUUCCGACACAGAAUGUCAAGGGACCCCUCACGACGCUGGGACAACAUCGACGGGGAGUUGUGGCUGAAGUACAUGGUAACACAGCCGGUACGACAACCAGAAUCAGGCGGACGGGGCGCAAUGACACGCGUACAGGGGGACAUCGCCAGUCAGGUAUGCUGGGAUUUCAAUAAAUUUGGCUGUAGCAGGGUUAACUGUAAGUACACUCACAAAUGCGGUAAGUGUGGCAAACAUUCCCAUAGCUCUAGGACCUGCUUUCGAGGGAAUGGGGUCCAACCGACCCCAUACAAGCCCAAUCAGCCUUUUCCUAACAGAAAACAACCCGGCAAGGCAGGUAAAUUCAAUGGCCCCUUCCCCCGUGGACCUCAAUGAAAUGGCACCUUGGUUACGCCAAUAUGCUAGGGUCAAUUACAGAGAUGCAAAUUAUUUAUGGGUAGGUUUUAGCUUUGGCUUUAAGCUCGAGUUCCAGGGAAGCCGCACGGGUCGCCUGGCACGAAACUUGCGAUCAGCCACGCACCAAGACACGGCAGGCUACGUGAAACAAAAACUACAAAAGGAAGUCGACCUUGGCAGGAUGGCGGGCCCCUUCAAGGACACCCCCCUAGACAACCUCCAAGUAUCCCCAAUAGGCCUGGUGCCCAAGAAGCAGCCAGGAUAUGGUCAGCACCUGGGUAAGCAUGCGGAGGAAUUCCGUCUAAUUCACCAUCUAUCCUAUCCCAGGGGUAAAUCUAUAAAUGACUUCAUAGACACAGAGGCCUGCUCCGUUGUGUACGCAAGAUUUGAUGAAGCUACCCAUAUGGUUCAACAACUGGGAAAGGGAGCACUACUAGCAAAAUUCGACAUUCAGUCGGCCUUUAGAAUUAUACCAGUCCACCCAUCCGAUUUCGAGCUGCUAGGCAUCAGAUUCGAAGGUGAGUUCUAUUUCGAUAAAUGCUUACCAUUUGGCUGCUCCAUAUCUUGCGCCAUAUUUGAAACGUUUAGUACCUUCUUGCAAUGGUGCAUGCAAUCGCAUCUUCCAACGCGUCCGAUCAUGCAUUACCUGGACGACUUCCUAACGGGGGGCACAGCAGGCACCAGCCACUGCUCAGACAACCUCAACGGAUGCGUGAAUACACUUGAACAGCUUGGGGUUCCUAUUGCGCACGACAAGACGGCGGGCCCCACAACCAAACUGACAUUCCUAGGGCUGGAAAUCGACACCAUUGCAAUGCAGAUCAGAAUCCCAGAGCCCAAGAUCAAGGAGGCAACAAGGGAAAUCCAUGACAUCCUGUCAACAGGUAACAUCAAGGUUGCAAAAAGGGCCCUUCAGUCCCUCAUAGGCAAGCUUAACUUUAUGUGCAGGGCUAUACCAAUGGCAAGGGCAUUCAGCCGCAGGCUAAUCGAUCUGCUUAGCAAAGGUAAGCAACCAUUUCACCACAUUAGGAUUACCAGCUGGGUCAAGGAAGACCUACAAAUGUGGUUAACAUUUCUUACGAGUUACAACGGCAUUUCAGUGUUUCAGGACCAACUAUGGGUGGACAGCGAUUUCCUCCAGCUGUUUUCAGACGCAGCGGGCGGCGCCGGCUUUGGGGCCUACAUGCAGGGCAAAUGGUUUAACGGCGCAUGGCCAACCCAGUGGGUGACGGAUGGAACUACACGGGACUUGACGCUCCUGGAGCUGUUCCCCAUCACACUGGCCAUCCAAAUCUGGGGCAAGCAACUCGCAAACAAAAAGGUCCUCUUUUACUGCGACAACCAAGCCGUCGUAACAAUAAUCAACAAGCAGUCAACCAAGGCCCCCAGAGUGAUGAGCCUACUCCGUCGCCUAAUCCUGCAGUGCCUCCGAUAUAAUAUUAUGUUUAAGGCAAAGUAUGUAUGUUCCACUGCUAACACUAUUGCCGAUGCUCUCUCGAGGUUUCAGCUCAAACGCUUCCGAGAGGCAGCACCAGCCGCGGACCAGAACCCCACACCUAUCCCGUGCAACAUAUGGCUGAUCUGAGGCAGGAAGCCGGCAGACUCCUACAACAAUCUCUGUCUACUAAUACAUGGGCCACUUACCAAACAGGCAUCAAUGCCUUGCACCAGUUCCGGUCCGCACACCAGCUACAAGAGUUUGGAUGGUGGGAUCCAGCUACAUGGCCAGGGCACGGCAGUACUUGCUCCUGAAGGGCACCAGUCCGAACCAACCGAGGAUGCUAUGGCUGGCACGAGGGGGGAUGAGGUGGAAGGAGCUGGACACCAUUCUGGAUGCACAGGUCAAGGCGACACGGCGCAGCCCCAGAGCCCUCAUCAUUCACCUGGGCUCCAACGACCUGUGCUCGGUCAAGGGCAGCCAACUCUACCUUGACAUGGUGGCAUCAAUCCUUCGGAUACAACUCCAGCUUCCUGACACCAGGAUCAUCGUAUCCUCAAUGCUGCCCAGGCGCUACUGGCACGAUGCCAGGGACCCACUAAAGAUCGAGGGGAUGCGGAAGAAUAUCAACCGCCGACUGGCCAACCGAGUCAAAGAGCUCGGCGGUACAAUGGUGCCACAUCCCCAGAUCCUGGCAUCAGACAAGACAUGGUACGCCUGGGAGGGCGUCCACCUCAGCGACAAAGGACUGUGUGUGUUUACGGACAAUUUAUUGCAUGCCCUAGCGCUCGUUUUGCGCCAGUAAGGAUAUUAUCUCCACAGGUUAGUGUUUCCGUUCAGUACAUAGGCAAGCCGGGCAACAAUGCUAUCUCCGCGUAUCGCGUGGCCGUGGGUGUGGGGUAGCACUCGGGUGCUUUGUGGCGGGGUUCUUGUGGGCUACACUGCUAGUAACAAAUUAACUUGCUUCCAAAUUAAUACUCGUGCUUAAGGCUACCUGCUUUUCAGCGGGAACCUUUCCGGGGUUACCUGCUUCUCAGUGGGAACCUUGU